RNAcentral lists this ribosomal RNA (153 nucleotides) under uncultured ammonia-oxidizing bacterium. RNAcentral's name for it is "partial 16S ribosomal RNA". It matches the Rfam family "Bacterial small subunit ribosomal RNA", at positions 381 to 527 of the family's 1533-position model. The record is from RNAcentral.
ACCUGAUCAGCCAUGCCGCGUGAGUGAAGAAGGCCUUCGGGUUGUAAAGCUCUUUCAGCCGGAACGAAACGGUCACGGCUAAUAUCUGUGACUACUGACGGUACCGGAAGAAGAAGCACCGGCUAACUACGUGCCAGCAGCCGCGGUAAUAGA